RNAcentral lists this ribosomal RNA (484 nucleotides) under uncultured bacterium. RNAcentral's name for it is "partial 16S ribosomal RNA". It matches the Rfam family "Bacterial small subunit ribosomal RNA", at positions 29 to 523 of the family's 1533-position model. The record is from RNAcentral.
AGUGAACGCUGGCGGCGUGCUUAACACAUGCAAGUCGAACGAGAACGGGUUAUAGCUUGCUAUAAUUGUCAGCUAAGUGGCGCACGGGUGAGUAAUGUAUAGGUAAUAUGCCUCUUACUAAGGGAUAACAAAUGGAAACGUUUGCUAAUACCUUAUACUCCUUAUUAACAUAAGUUAAUAAGGGAAAGAUUUAUUGGUAAGAGAUUAGCCUGUAUUGUAUCAGUUAGUUGGUGGGGUAAUGGCUUACCAAGACUAUGACACAUAACUGGUUUGAGAGGAUGAGCAGUCACACGGGAACUGAGACACGGUCCAGACUCCUACGGGAGGCAGCAGUGGGGAAUAUUGCACAAUGGACGGAAGUCUGAUGCAGCAACGCCGCGUGGAGGAUGACACAUUUCGGUGCGUAAACUCCUUUUAUAUGAGAAGAUAAUGACGGUAUUAUAUGAAUAAGCACCGGCUAACUCCGUGCCAGCAGCCGCCGUAA